GCGCCGGUAGUGUACGGUACACGCAUCCCCAGAUUCAGCCUGUGCUCAAUUCUAUGGAUGAACAACCGGGGUUCGACUCCCCGCUAGCGCA
Molecule: non-coding RNA, 91 nt
Organism: Mycena rebaudengoi
Lineage: Eukaryota; Fungi; Basidiomycota; Agaricomycetes; Agaricales; Mycenaceae
Source: the annotation of a GenBank genome assembly